RNAcentral lists this unclassified non-coding RNA (379 nucleotides) under uncultured bacterium. RNAcentral describes it as "contains 16S-23S intergenic spacer region". The record is from RNAcentral.
GGAAGUGGCGCAGCGCGAGCCGUACGCCAUGGCGCCGAUCUUCGUGUGGGAAUCGCCGGGGCCGGAGCCUGUCUACCGUCACAAGGCGCUGCACGACUUCUACGCCGAUUGGGAAGUGAAGGAAGUCAUCCCCGAGAUCAAAUCGCUGCCGGGCCUGAUCUGGAACGCGUUGAAGAAGGUGAUCGGGGGAUGGCUGUUUUACCUGGGCCCGGCGCUCACCGUGCCACUGCUCUUUCUGCCGCAGAUCGUCAGGCGCGACCGGCGGCUUCGGCCGCUGCUGAUCGCCAGCGCCGCGGCCUUGAUCGCGAUCGCUCUCGACGCGUGGUUUUAUCCGCAUUACGCCGCGCCGAUCGCGGGGGCGCUGUUCGUUGUGGUCGUG